GACGAACCGUGCGAACGUUAUUCGGAAUCACUGGGCUUAAAGCGCGUGUAGGCGGGUGGGGACGUCGGCAUCUGAAAGCCCCCGGCUCAACCGGGGAAGGGGAUCCGAAACGCCCCGCCUGGAGGGACGUAGGGGGACCUGGAACUUCCGGUGGAGCGGUGAAAUGCGUUGAGAUCGGAAGGAACGCCCGUGGCGAAAGCGAGGUCCUGGACGUCUGCUGACGCUGAGACGCGAAAGCUAGGGGAGCGAACGGGAUUAGAUACCCCGGUAGUCCUAGCCGUAAACGAUGGGCACUGGGUAGGGGGCUCGCCGAUGGGCUCCCUGCCGUAGCGAAAGCGUGAAGUGCCCCGCCUGGGGAGUAUGGUCGCAAGGCUGAA
RNAcentral lists this ribosomal RNA (377 nucleotides) under uncultured bacterium. RNAcentral's name for it is "bacterial SSU rRNA". It matches the Rfam family "Bacterial small subunit ribosomal RNA", at positions 524 to 898 of the family's 1533-position model. The record is from RNAcentral.